UGGGGAAUAUUGCACAAUGGGCGAAAGCCUGAUGCAGGGACGCCGCGUGAGGGAUGACGGCCUUCGGGUUGUAAACCUCUUUCAGCAGGGAAGAAGCGCAAGUGACGGUACCUGCAGAAGAAGCACCGGCUAACU
RNAcentral lists this ribosomal RNA (135 nucleotides) under uncultured bacterium. RNAcentral's name for it is "partial 16S rRNA". It matches the Rfam family "Bacterial small subunit ribosomal RNA", at positions 355 to 502 of the family's 1533-position model. The record is from RNAcentral.